CGCUGGAUUGUUUUCGUUGCCCAAUGCAUCGCUAGUUUUAGAUGAAAGCUUUUAGAACUUUUCUUUGCUUCAUCCUGUCCUCUAUAGUGGAGGAAGAAUGUCGAGAACUUUGGAGCUAGUUUAGGAAGAAAGCUUUUUAGUUCUUCCUUUCCUCCAUGGUGGAGGAAGAUUAGCAUCAUACUUUUUUGGAGCGCUUUAGUUUUUAGUUUUUGUUCUUCGUUGUGUUCCAUAGAUGCAUGACAACCAUAGCUGGCUACUAAUACCUUUGCGAUCACGUAACCUUACAGAUGAGACAAGGAGGGAAAACUGGGAACGAACAACGUUCUUUCUCUCUUCAUCAUGCCUUGUGUGGAGUCCGGCUGUCUUCUCAUCGAUGGCGAUCAAUCAACGACUUCGAGUUUGGCAGCCGAUUUAAUUGCAUCCGGUUGACCUUGAUGCCGUGAACUUAUCAUACUUCUUCUUCUGCUGCUUCAACUUGGAUCAUCAUCGCCUCCCCUGGAAACACCAAACAAGCUUAAACUUAUCCUCUUCUUUACGGCUGCCGCGUUUACAAGUCACUUCCCAGCGGGCUCUUAAAAAAUGGUUUGUCUAAGGUAAGAACUUUCCAGUUGUUAGCAUCCAGCAGUGUAUGCCAAAGUCAUUGUAUC
Selaginella moellendorffii is the source of this 647-nucleotide long non-coding RNA. RefSeq lists it as uncharacterized. The transcript is spliced from 2 exons. Lineage: Eukaryota; Viridiplantae; Streptophyta; Lycopodiopsida; Selaginellales; Selaginellaceae. The record is from RefSeq and is a predicted model, not a curated record.